Molecule: ribosomal RNA, 239 nt
Filed under: uncultured Pseudomonadota bacterium
Lineage: Bacteria; Pseudomonadati; Pseudomonadota
Description: uncultured proteobacterium partial 16S ribosomal RNA
Rfam family: Bacterial small subunit ribosomal RNA
Source: RNAcentral
UUGGGUUUAAAGUGCGUGUAGGCGGUCAGGCAAGUCAGAUGUGAAAGCCCGGGGCUUAACCCCGGAAGUGCAUUUGAAACUGUCUGGCUGGAGUACGGGAGAGGAGAGUGGAAUUCCCGGUGUAGAGGUGAAAUUCGUAGAUAUCGGGAGGAACACCGGUGGCGAAGGCGGCUCUCUGGCCCGAUACUGACGCUGAGACGCGAAAGCGUGGGGAGCAAACAGGAUUAGAUACCCCCGUA